UCUGGUGUCAGCCGCCCCGGUAAAACCAGCCCCUCAAGGGGUCAGGAGGUUUAUUGGGCCUAAAGCUUCCGUAGCCGGUUGUUUAAUUUUUCGGUUAAUUCUAUGGGCUUAACGAAUAGGCUGCCGAAAAUACUGGAAAGUUAGGAAGGGGAAAAGGUAAACGGAACUCAAGAGGAAGGGGUAAAAUCCUUUAAUCUGUUGAUAACCACCUGUGGCAAAGGCGGCGUACCAAAACACGUUCAACGGUGAGGAAUAAAAGCUGGGGAAGCAAACCGAAUUAAAUACCCGGGUAGCCCCAGCUGUAAACAAUGCAAACUCGGGGAUGAUUUGGCUUGUGGCCAAUGCAUGGCCGCAGGGAAGCCGUUAAUUUUGCCGCCUGGGAAGUCCGUACGCAAGUUUGAAACUUAAAGGAAUUGGCGGGGGAGCACCACAAGGGGUGAAGCCUGCGGUUCAUUUGAAGUCAACGCCAGAAAUCUUACCCGGAACAACACAAAAAUAAAGGUCAAGCUAAAAACUUUACCAAACAAGCU
Molecule: ribosomal RNA, 530 nt
Filed under: uncultured Nitrososphaerota archaeon
Lineage: Archaea; Thermoproteati; Nitrososphaerota
Description: bacterial SSU rRNA
Rfam family: Archaeal small subunit ribosomal RNA
Source: RNAcentral